Hordeum vulgare subsp. vulgare (domesticated barley) is the source of this 845-nucleotide long non-coding RNA. RefSeq lists it as uncharacterized. The transcript has 2 exons. The record is from RefSeq and is a predicted model, not a curated record. NCBI's taxonomy places the organism in Eukaryota, Viridiplantae, Streptophyta, Magnoliopsida, Poales, Poaceae.
CAGCAUGUUCAGCACGCAAUGCACACAGUUGCAAUGCCUAUUUAAACACCCCCCCCCCCUCCCUCCCUUCAGAUCCACAGUUCACCGCCGUGGCUGGAAUCGCCGGCAACAAUGGCCGAGGCCAGGCGGCUCUGAGGAGUCAGCCCUGCAUAACAGCUACCGAUCCAGGACCGCAGAAGGGACUCGAGCCGUUCUCCACAGGGAGGUGCAGCCAUGGAGAGGUAUGAAAAAAUAUGAAACGUAUGGAAGCAGCACUCAAUCCGAUCGAAGAGGAUGAAGAGCACUCAAUUCCCAUAAGUUCGAGUGGGUAACGAGUAUUCACCAACAGUGAAAAAGAUCAUACCGUGAGAGUCCUCAACCAGCGCAUGUGAACAAGCAGCGCAUGCCGCAACCAUGGGACAACGCCGCCAUCCUUGGUAUCUUUGAUAUCGCCGGACAGUUGACCCGCUCAGAUGGCAGACUCGACAAGCUGCCUAGGACACCCGUCCAUUGCAAGCCAAACUUUAAGGUCGUGAAGACAGCCAUAGAAAUGUAUACCGCCUUGGAGGGGUCAACGCUGAACAUGUCUAAGGCUGUUUUCAUGGCCUGAAAGUUUGGUUUGCACUGCACAGGGGUCUUAGGCAGCAUGUCGACCUUGCCACCUGAACGGGCCAAGUGUCUGGUGAUAUCAAAGAUCUGAGAGGUGACGACCUUGUCCCAUGGCCGUGACUUGCACGACUUGUUUUGAGUCUCGAAGCAGAUGAUCCCAUCGAAACAGUCCUUCAUACCCAGCCUUUCGAGGAUUCUCAUGGUAUGGUCCUUGUUAUUGUUUGUGAAUAUAUGAGAGAGAGCAUGCAUGUGUGAAA